CACGAUCCCACGCAAUGCACAAGCCAUAAUACACUCCUCCACGGGCUUUGGCGAGGAAGUGAGCGGCGUUGACGGAGUACUCGAAGCGGGAGACGCAGCCGAAGGAGAAGAAGCAAGAGGAGUGAGAUGGGAAUGAGACAGAGUCAGGUUUUGAUGCGCCGGAGAAAUGUUCAACGCCUUGUUGUUGCAGAAAAGAGACGAGGACGGGGAGAAAACCGGCAAGCUGCAGACGGCAACAGACAUCGUUUCCUGUAAACCUUUUUUGUUAAUGAUUUUUUUUUCCUGUAUAUUUAUUUUGUUUGCGUUCUCCUAGUCGUUUGAAUGAAUGUUAUCAACGAAGGUGAAAAGAAGCUAUAAAUAGAAGAGAAGUCUCCGAGGCCUAUCGGUGACGACGCUUUCUUCUUCAAAGUCAAACGCUACCACCACCAUCUUCUUCUUCUUUGACUUUUCAAAUCACGAACCCACCGCCACAGUCCACUUGUUCCGCCUUAUUUUUAAAAAAUGUUGGUCAACUCCAUUUUGUUGUUACUCUUCCAGAAAAAAAAUAAUUUUGGAUAACAGAACGGAAAAAAAAAGUCAAGAGAAAUAAAUUGUGGUUAUGAACAUAAAAUUCAUUUGAUCACUUCACCUUGAUGUCUGGUGGAGGAAGGAUGAAUAUAAUGAAACACGUGGUAUUAUUAUUUUUCCAUCACACGUGUUACAUAUUGUGAGGAAAAGUCAAAAUAGAAAGAAAGCCCAUCUGAAAAUAAUAAAAGCCGUUUAGAGUGGAGGCCCUAUAGACAGAAAGCCUAUAAUAGUCGGACCGACAUGGAUACAUGGAUAUUUUAUAAUAUUUCUAGAACCCGACCCGGUUCACACUUUUUGUUCCCGGCGGCCGUCUCUCUCCCUAACUCUUGUGACACCUUCUUCUUCUUCUUCCUCCUCUUCUCCUUCGAAGUCAGGUUAGAUUUACGCUUCUUUUAUAUUUACUUUGGGUUUAUGAGAUUGGUUAUCUGGAUUCUUAGUGUUUGUGGUAUCGAACAGAACGGAACACUAAGAUACUCAUGUAAAAGAGAAUCCACUUGGACUUAAGAUCGUACUAAACUUUCAGACGUUCAGAUUUUUUAAGAUUAAGUUUCUAGCUGAAGUAUGUAUUUAUCAGCUAUAUAUAUAGGGGUAUAAACGUUAGAGAUAUCCUGUGUUACGUAACAAUUAAGACUCAUGCACAUACGGUAUGUUAAUAUACACAGAGUGCCCUAAUAACUAAUAUGACAAAUGAAGUUUAAACAUUCUUAAGGUGUUCUCUAAUCUCUACAUAUCUCCACUGGUCAGAUGAAGCGGCGUAACGGAAUCAACAUAACACUGAUAUCGUCCAAGGAGCCUCGUGAAACAGAGAGGUCAACGAGCUUCUUACACGCUAGCAAUGGCUUUUGGUUCUGAUCGGUUCCCAUGCAGAACGGUCGAGCUAUAUCUACUGUCUCCUGGUUACCAACCUUUUCCCACAGACCGUCUGAAGCUAAGAUCAAGAACUCGUGUUGGGGGUUGAUACGUAAAGUCUUUGUCUCUGGCUCAGAUAUCACCCAUCUUUUGAGAUGCGCAUCUCCGAUUCCUCUAGACAGGGGCGGAGGCAGUGAAGGAGGUGUGGGGUCAGCUGACCCCACUACUUUUUUAAAAAUAUUUUUUUUUAUUUAAGAAAAUUUGUAUUGACCCCUUUAAAAAUGAAAAUUUGACCCCACUAAAAAUAUAAUUUCACAAAUAUAAUCACAAAACAUUAAAGAUUGAAGAUAAUUUAAAAUUAUAUAAAUAAUAUGUUUAUUUUAUUUGUUAAACAUUUGAUUUAUAUUAAUUUUAGCUUAGAUUUCAAUAAACACGUUUUUAUAAUAAGUGUUAGUUACAUAUUUCAAUAACUCCCAAAUUGUAUUAGGUCCAAUAAUGAGCGAAUUUGAAAAAAAGAGAUUUGUACUUCUUUUCUGGACAACGCAAAGAGGAAGAACUCUCAUGUUCCCCAAACAAUUUUUAGAUAAUUUUUUUUUGAUCGAAUAAUUUUUAAAUAAGUUUUCUAUUUUUUUUUGUUAUACACUCUCUUCUUUAUUUUAGCAAACUAAAAAUGAUUAUGAUUCAAUGAUUAUGUAAAUUUAUCAGUUAACUAAUGGAUCAGUUUCUGAAUCGGCAAAAAAAUAUCAGCCAAUGAAAAUCAUCAAAAAAUAAUAUUACAAUAUCGCAUCAGUAAUGAAUUUCUAAAACUUUUAUGAUUUGUUUUAUCAAAAUUAUUUUAAAUUGUAGUAAAUAAUUAUGGUAAACAAGUUUUAAGAUAUGAAUGAUCAUAUAGUAUAUUUAUAGUUUUUCCGUGGUUAUAAAUUAUGUAUUUGGAGAUAAAAAAAUUUGACCCCGGUACAAAAACUUUCUGGCGGCUCCGCCACUGCCUCUAGAUACCGCUAAAGAUCCUUGGAUUCUCCAAACACUGUUAAAUGUAUCAACAUAACCGCCCUGCAAGAUUAUCAUGCUAAAACUCAGAACCAAAAACAUACUAAAACGAGGUUGUACUACGUAGGUUGCUAUUUUUUCUAAAACCCUAAAAACCAAGAAAAAUAUAAACUGAAUGAAGACUAAAUAUCAAUGCACUACUUAAUCAUAUUCUUGAAAAUCAACCAUAAGUUUAUUGAAAAAUGAUUUACAAACAUUAAAUGUUAAUAUAGAGGUAUGAAUUAUUACCGAGCUUUCAAUUCUGUUCCGUUCAUCGUCCCUCGAAGGGCGGUGGUCAGAAGUCAGAGCCUCCGCGAAUCCUCCAACGCUCAAAACAGCACGGCAGUCACCGGCAUUGGACACCACGAGAUUCCCAUCUUUAAUCAGAGCCGUGACGCAGCAAGAUCCUCCCUUAACAUCUUUCUCCUUGAGAAACUCAGAAUCAGUCGUUAGGUAACCACGUUUCACAGCUUCUUCAAUAUCUGACUCGUUCCUCUCACUACCUCUCUCUCCUAGAAUGUUAUUACACAAGUUCUUAGCCGCAAACUCAGCCGCUCUUGAUCCUCCAUGACCAUCAUAGACUCCAAAAAUUGCCUGCAAAUCGUAGAACAACAUUUGAGAUUUAAUGACUACUUCUACAAUAUGAACUUCACAUAUGAUUCAUUGGUCAUAUUAGAAUUUUGAUAGGGAGCUUUGAAUUUGAUUCAAUGUUCUAAAAUCCAAAUCUUAUUUGGCAAAAUAAAUUUAUUCUAAAAUCUAAACUAUCUGAUUCCCACACAAAAAAUGAGAUUAUAUAUAAUACAUAUUGGAAUAUCAUUUUUCUAGUAAUUAUUACAAUUUGAAAUAAUAAAAGAGAACUGAAGUUACCUGUUUGGGAUCUCUUUCAAGAUUGGUGAUGGCAGAGAACCGAUCCUCCAUAGCUUCUCUCUUUCCUCUCUUGCAGUAAACUGAAAACUCAUCACCUUCCCUUUCCACCUCUCCACUUUCUUCCCUUGUCGUCUCUGCAUUCACAGAGAUAGGUGCUGCAACACCCACGGGAGCCACCGGUAUGUCUAGCCUCGUAGGUCGCUUCCUCUUCAGAACGCCUCCCAGCUGGCGGUCAAAGGGACCAGAGUCCGAACCAAACACUGAAUUAACCGGCGGUUUAAGAAGACGGAGGCAGAACGGCGAAGUGGGAGACGCAGCCGAAGGAGAAGAAGCAAGAGGAGUGAGAUGGGAAUGAGACAGAGUCAGGUUUUGAUGCGCCGGAGAAAUGUUCAACGCCUUGUUGUUGCAGAAAAGAGACGAGGACGGGGAGAAAACCGGCGAGCUGCAGACGGCAACAGACAUCCUUUCCUUUAAACCUUUUUUGUUGAUGAUUUUUUUUUUUCCUGUAUAUUUAUUUUGUUUGCGUUCUCCUAGUCGUUUGAAUGAAUGUUAUCAACGAAGGUGAAAAGAAGCUAUAAAUAGAAGAGAAGUCUUCGAGGCCUAUCGGCGACGACGCUUUCUUCUUCAAAGUCAAACGCUACCACCACCAUCUUCUUCUUCUUUGACUUUUCAAAUCACGAACCCACCGCCACAGUCCACUUGUUCCGCCUUAUUUUUAAAAAAUGUUGGUCAACUCCAUUUUGUUGUUACUCUUCCAGAAAAAAAAUAAUUUUGGAUAACAGAACGGAAAAAAAAAGUCAAGAGAAAUAAAUUGUGGUUAUGAACAUAAAAUUCAUUUGAUCACUUCACCUUGAUGUCUGGUGGAGGAAGGAUGAAUAUAAUGAAACACGUGGUAUUAUUAUUUUUCCAUCACACGUGUUACAUAUUGUGAGGAAAAGUCAAAAUAGAAAGAAAGCCCAUCUGAAAAUAAUAAAAGCCGUUUAGAGUGGAGGCCCUAUAGACAGAAAGCCUAUAAUAGUCGGACCGACAUGGAUACAUGGAUAUUUUAUAAUAUUUCUAGAACCCGACCCGGUUCACACUUUUUGUUCCCGGCGGCCGUCUCUCUCCCUAACUCUUGUGACACCUUCUUCUUCUUCUUCCUCCUCUUCUCCUUCGAAGUCAGGUUAGAUUUACGCUUCUUUUAUAUUUACUUUGGGUUUAUGAGAUUGGUUAUCUGGAUUCUUAGUGUUUGUGGUAUCGAACAGAACGGAACACUAAGAUACUCAUGUAAAAGAGAAUCCACUUGGACUUAAGAUCGUACUAAACUUUCAGACGUUCAGAUUUUUUAAGAUUAAGUUUCUAGCUGAAGUAUGUAUUUAUCAGCUAUAUAUAUAGGGGUAUAAACGUUAGAGAUAUCCUGUGUUACGUAACAAUUAAGACUCAUGCACAUACGGUAUGUUAAUAUACACAGAGUGCCCUAAUAACUAAUAUGACAAAUGAAGUUUAAACAUUCUUAAGGUGUUCUCUAAUCUCUACAUAUCUCCACUGGUCAGAUGAAGCGGCGUAACGGAAUCAACAUAACACUGAUAUCGUCCAAGGAGCCUCGUGAAACAGAGAGGUCAACGAGCUUCUUACACGCUAGCAAUGGCUUUUGGUUCUGAUCGGUUCCCAUGCAGAACGGUCGAGCUAUAUCUACUGUCUCCUGGUUACCAACCUUUUCCCACAGACCGUCUGAAGCUAAGAUCAAGAACUCGUGUUGGGGGUUGAUACGUAAAGUCUUUGUCUCUGGCUCAGAUAUCACCCAUCUUUUGAGAUGCGCAUCUCCGAUUCCUCUAGACAGGGGCGGAGGCAGUGAAGGAGGUGUGGGGUCAGCUGACCCCACUACUUUUUUUAAAAAUAUUUUUUUUUAUUUAAGAAAAUUUGUAUUGACCCCUUUAAAAAUGAAAAUUUGACCCCACUAAAAAUAUAAUUUCACAAAUAUAAUCACAAAACAUUAAAGAUUGAAGAUAAUUUAAAAUUAUAUAAAUAAUAUGUUUAUUUUAUUUGUUAAACAUUUGAUUUAUAUUAAUUUUAGCUUAGAUUUCAAUAAACACGUUUUUAUAAUAAGUGUUAGUUACAUAUUUCAAUAACUCCCAAAUUGUAUUAGGUCCAAUAAUGAGCGAAUUUGAAAAAAAGAGAUUUGUACUUCUUUUCUGGACAACGCAAAGAGGAAGAACUCUCAUGUUCCCCAAACAAUUUUUAGAUAAUUUUUUUUUGAUCGAAUAAUUUUUAAAUAAGUUUUCUAUUUUUUUUGUUAUACACUCUCUUCUUUAUUUUAGCAAACUAAAAAUGAUUAUGAUUCAAUGAUUAUGUAAAUUUAUCAGUUAACUAAUGGAUCAGUUUCUGAAUCGGCAAAAAAAUAUCAGCCAAUGAAAAUCAUCAAAAAAUAAUAUUACAAUAUCGCAUCAGUAAUGAAUUUCUAAAACUUUUAUGAUUUGUUUUAUCAAAAUUAUUUUAAAUUGUAGUAAAUAAUUAUGGUAAACAAGUUUUAAGAUAUGAAUGAUCAUAUAGUAUAUUUAUAGUUUUUCCGUGGUUAUAAAUUAUGUAUUUGGAGAUAAAAAAAUUUGACCCCGGUACAAAAACUUUCUGGCGGCUCCGCCACUGCCUCUAGAUACCGCUAAAGAUCCUUGGAUUCUCCAAACACUGUUAAAUGUAUCAACAUAACCGCCCUGCAAGAUUAUCAUGCUAAAACUCAGAACCAAAAACAUACUAAAACGAGGUUGUACUACGUAGGUUGCUAUUUUUUUCUAAAACCCUAAAAACCAAGAAAAAUAUAAACUGAAUGAAGACUAAAUAUCAAUGCACUACUUAAUCAUAUUCUUGAAAAUCAACCAUAAGUUUAUUGAAAAAUGAUUUACAAACAUUAAAUGUUAAUAUAGAGGUAUGAAUUAUUACCGAGCUUUCAAUUCUGUUCCGUUCAUCGUCCCUCGAAGGGCGGUGGUCAGAAGUCAGAGCCUCCGCGAAUCCUCCAACGCUCAAAACAGCACGGCAGUCACCGGCAUUGGACACCACGAGAUUCCCAUCUUUAAUCAGAGCCGUGACGCAGCAAGAUCCUCCCUUAACAUCUUUCUCCUUGAGAAACUCAGAAUCAGUCGUUAGGUAACCACGUUUCACAGCUUCUUCAAUAUCUGACUCGUUCCUCUCACUACCUCUCUCUCCUAGAAUGUUAUUACACAAGUUCUUAGCCGCAAACUCAGCCGCUCUUGAUCCUCCAUGACCAUCAUAGACUCCAAAAAUUGCCUGCAAAUCGUAGAACAACAUUUGAGAUUUAAUGACUACUUCUACAAUAUGAACUUCACAUAUGAUUCAUUGGUCAUAUUAGAAUUUUGAUAGGGAGCUUUGAAUUUGAUUCAAUGUUCUAAAAUCCAAAUCUUAUUUGGCAAAAUAAAUUUAUUCUAAAAUCUAAACUAUCUGAUUCCCACACAAAAAAUGAGAUUAUAUAUAAUACAUAUUGGAAUAUCAUUUUUCUAGUAAUUAUUACAAUUUGAAAUAAUAAAAGAGAACUGAAGUUACCUGUUUGGGAUCUCUUUCAAGAUUGGUGAUGGCAGAGAACCGAUCCUCCAUAGCUUCUCUCUUUCCUCUCUUGCAGUAAACUGAAAACUCAUCACCUUCCCUUUCCACCUCUCCACUUUCUUCCCUUGUCGUCUCUGCAUUCACAGAGAUAGGUGCUGCAACACCCACGGGAGCCACCGGUAUGUCUAGCCUCGUAGGUCGCUUCCUCUUCAGAACGCCUCCCAGCUGGCGGUCAAAGGGACCAGAGUCCGAACCAAACACUGAAUUAACCGGCGGUUUAAGAAGACGGAGGCAGAACGGCGAAGUGGGAGACGCAGCCGAAGGAGAAGAAGCAAGAGGAGUGAGAUGGGAAUGAGACAGAGUCAGGUUUUGAUGCGCCGGAGAAAUGUUCAACGCCUUGUUGUUGCAGAAAAGAGACGAGGACGGGGAGAAAACCGGCGAGCUGCAGACGGCAACAGACAUCCUUUCCUUUAAACCUUUUUUGUUGAUGAUUUUUUUUUUU
RNAcentral lists this long non-coding RNA (7342 nucleotides) under Brassica rapa (field mustard). Its description in RNAcentral is "long non-coding RNA (BRAP_LNC007539)". The record is from RNAcentral. Lineage: Eukaryota; Viridiplantae; Streptophyta; Magnoliopsida; Brassicales; Brassicaceae.